This 1719-nucleotide long non-coding RNA is filed under the name Apis mellifera (honey bee). RNAcentral's name for it is "uncharacterized LOC113218584". Lineage: Eukaryota; Metazoa; Arthropoda; Insecta; Hymenoptera; Apidae. The record is from RNAcentral.
UUUUUCUCCAAUUGUAACAAAUAUACAUUUCUCUGAUCUAAGAAUUUUUAAAUUUCGAAAUUUUAAAAAAAAAGAAAAUGGAGAUCGCACAAAUUGAAAAAAUUAGAAUUACUAUUUAAUCCUUUUGAAAAGGAGAUUACAAGCAUUAAUAUGAUAGGAUGGAUUAGAUAAUGAAUUUCAAAAGAAUUCUUUUCUAAUUGUAAUAAAUAUAUAUUUCUCUGAUCCAAUAGUUUUUAAAUAAGAAAUCAAAGUUAUCUAAUCUUUUGAAAAGAGGAUUAGAAGCAUGCUCGAAAUACACUUUAAAAACGAUGUUAUUUAUGGUUUGAUCCGAUAUCUCUCUGUGGAUCGCGAGUUGUAAUUGUAUGUAAUAAGAAGAAAAAAGAAAAAAAAAUGCAGAAAAAAAAAUGUGUGUUUGUGCAGGAUGUGAUCGUGCGUAUGAGUUACUUGGAAUGACUGUGAAUUAAAAGAGACUGCGUAAUAGACAUAUGUGAUAGGCACCAUGUGCAGACUUCAGUAUUAUUUUGCAGUUAAAUGGGGGAAAGGAAAACACAUAAAACACAUGGAUCUGUACGUUAGUUAGAUACUCUUUAACAAAAAAGAAAAAGAAAAAAAAAUACGUCUGUUUCGUUGUUCGUGAAAAACUUUUAAAAAGAUGAAGGGAACGACUUCCGACCUGCCCCUGAUCGCGAAACAUAACUGUCCUUCUUGAUCGAAAUAUUUCGAUAUGUUUCAAGACACGUAGUUCGUGAAAACCGAAGUUCUAUCAUUUUCUUUGCGCCGUCCUCGUUAGGAAAGAAAAAAAUAAAUAAAUCAGAUCCGAUUCUAGAUGCUUACGAAGCAUAUGGCUAUAUCUCUAUAAUUUUAAAAAAUAGUCAAAUAGAUAUUUAAUAAGAACCUAAUAUAUUUCGUCGUAAAAUCUCGUCGAAGAAAUGUUGGACAUUUUGGAUAUUUUGAUUAAGAAGAAUAGUAUUCGAAUGCGUUUCGAGCUCCCUCGAGAGGAAGAGAGAGAUCUCACGAGCAUUUAACACAUUCGAGACGAUAUUCUAAAAUGACGGAUAAAAAAAGAAUUUUCUACGUAUCCUUUCCUUUGUGCACGCUUGUUCUAUAUGAUACGAGCGUCUUCGUCGAUAUACCUCAAUAUUACAUUUCUUUUAUAAUUUUCUUUUUCGAUUUGAUCCGAAGAUUUGCCGCCCCUUCCAAUCUCGAAUGUGUUAAUAUUUCGCGGGAAAGGAAAAAAAAAGAAUGAUAAAUGAUAAACAAAACAAAUGAAAGGCAUGCGAGAAAAUGUGCGUGCGCGAAAGAUGAUGAUGAUGAUGAUGAUGAUGAUGACUCUCUGACAGUAUAAUUGUGCGUGUGAGAGAGAGAGAGAGAGAGAGAGAGAGAGAGAGAGAGAGAGAGAGAGAGAGAGAUAUGCCUCCGAAAAAAUAAUUAUUUUUAAUUUACGUGAAACUACACUUGUAUAUAGGAUCAAAGAGCGCGCAAUCGAUUAUUUAUGCGUAAUAUAUACAUACAUACAUAUAUAUAUAUAUUAUAUAUAUUUAUCGAUAAUUGUGCAACGCGAAUAUUGUUCUUCGGAUACAACCUUUAAUCGAGUGAUAGAAAAAUGGAAUAAGAUUAAAAACUUGCGAGGGUGCGAGAAAUUAGUGAGAACAAGAGACUGCGUGAAUAUGUUUGGAAGUGAGAGAAAGAGAAAGAAAUAAAUUUGAAACGAAAGUAAAA